Molecule: non-coding RNA, 120 nt
Organism: Oryza brachyantha (malo sina)
Lineage: Eukaryota; Viridiplantae; Streptophyta; Magnoliopsida; Poales; Poaceae
Source: Rfam
AGGUAGCAUUGAAAGAGAGGAUGGCUACCCGAUACAAUCUUCAUAGAGUAAUUGUUUGUCAUUUCCUGCUUGUGGUGUUGUUAGCAAGUCCUGCAGAGUCUCAAAUGACAAGACAGCUGC